UCCAUUUUUUCUUUCCCUUUCCCUCUUUCCCUUUUUUACUCAGUUCUUCUUUCCCUUUAUCCCUUCCCCUUUCCCUUUCCUCCCCAUUUUUUCUCUCCCUUUCCCUUUCCCUUUCCCUUUCCCUUUCCCUUUCCCUUUCCCUUUCCCUUUCCCUUUCCCUUUUCUCUCCAUUUUUUCUCUCCCUUUCCCCCUUUCCCUUUUCUCCCCAUUUUUUCUUUCCCUUUCCCUUUUCCCCUUUCCCCCUGCUUUUUCUGUCUCUUUCCCUUUCCCCUUUCCCUUCCCCCCAUUUUCCCUUUCCUCUUUCCCUUUUCUCCCCAUUUUUUCUCUCCCUUUCCCUUUCCCCCUUCCUCUUUUCUCCCCAUUUUUUCUCUCCCUUUCCCUUUUCCCCUUUCCCUUUCCUCCCCAUUUUUUUCUCUCCCUUUCCCUUUUCCCCUUUCCCUUUCCUCCCCAUUUUUUUCUCUCCCUUUCCCUUUUCCCCUUUCCCUUUCCUCCCCAUUUUUUCUCUCCCUUUCCCUUUCCCCCUUCCUCUUUUCUCCCCAUUUUUUCUCUCCCUUUCCCUUUUCCCCCCCCAUUUUUUCUUUCCCUUUCCCCCCCGUUUUUUCUUUCCCCUUUCCCCCCCGUUUUCUCCCCCUUUCCCUGUCCCCUUUCCCCCCGGCCGGUGCCGGGAUCGGAUCGUUCCCGUUCUCCUGCGCUCCUCUCCUUCUCCCGUAUCCCAGCUGGUGUGCGCUACUGGCUGGUGCCGCGCGAGGGGCGUGAGCAGCUCCGUGCCUGUGGUCAGUGAUGAAGACUUUCUGCUCUUUUCAUCCCCGCAGCACGGAGCCACCGCUCAGGGCCAGCCGGCAGCUCCUAAUCCCCGAGUUUUGGCCUUUUCCAGCCCCUUCCCAGCAGAAUGCAGCCUUCCCCUCCGGCCGCCUGAUGAUGAGCCAAGAAAUUCACUUUUCAUGGGAGGUGCGAGUGAGAGCCGGCAGUAGCUGAGCACGGAGGGUGCCAAGGUCUGGAGGAUGCGGCAGAGCCCUGGUGGCCCUCGGGACCCGCCCGCAGCCCGGCCCUGGGGAGCUGCUGCCCCUCUGCCGGUGCCCAUCGGAGGGGGACCAUGCCCGUGACCGGGGCACGGCAGCUCGCAGCGGGACGGGAACGGGACAGCGGGGCUCUCUAGC
This 1157-nucleotide long non-coding RNA is filed under the name Zonotrichia albicollis (white-throated sparrow). Its description in RNAcentral is "lncRNA (ENSZALG00000010626.1)". The record is from RNAcentral. Lineage: Eukaryota; Metazoa; Chordata; Aves; Passeriformes; Passerellidae.